This 367-nucleotide ribosomal RNA is filed under the name Escherichia coli. RNAcentral's name for it is "partial 23S ribosomal RNA". It matches the Rfam family "Bacterial large subunit ribosomal RNA", at positions 1 to 395 of the family's 2925-position model. The record is from RNAcentral. Lineage: Bacteria; Pseudomonadati; Pseudomonadota; Gammaproteobacteria; Enterobacterales; Enterobacteriaceae.
GGGUUGUGAGGUUAAGCGACUAAGCGUACACGGUGGAUGCCCUGGCAGUCAGAGGCGAUGAAGGACGUGCUAAUCUGCGAUAAGCGUCGGUAAGGUGAUAUGAACCGUUAUAACCGGCGAUUUCCGAAUGGGGAAACCCAGUGUGAUUCGUCACACUAUCAUUAACUGAAUCCAUAGGUUAAUGAGGCGAACCGGGGGAACUGAAACAUCUAAGUACCCCGAGGAAAAGAAAUCAACCGAGAUUCCCCCAGUAGCGGCGAGCGAACGGGGAGGAGCCCAGAGCCUGAAUCAGUGUGUGUGUUAGUGGAAGCGUCUGGAAAGGCGCGCGAUACAGGGUGACAGCCCCGUACACAAAAAUGCACAUGCU